This 5122-nucleotide long non-coding RNA is filed under the name Brassica napus (rape). RNAcentral describes it as "long non-coding RNA (BNAP_LNC018685)". Lineage: Eukaryota; Viridiplantae; Streptophyta; Magnoliopsida; Brassicales; Brassicaceae. The record is from RNAcentral.
CGUCUGCCCAACAUCCUUUUUUGAGAUCGAGGCGUUUUUUCAAACCGUCAAUUAUGAUUUUGUUGGUCGCCUCGGCUUGGCCGUUGCUCUGGGGGUAUCGCGGACUUGACGUGUUGAGUCGGAUUCUCCAUCUCUCGCAGAAUUCUCGAAAUUUAUUUGAUAUGAAUUGGGAGCCGUUGUCGGUCACUAUCUCGUAAGGUAGGCCGUGGCGACAGAUGAUGUUCUUCCACACAAAUCGUUGGACUUCCUUCUCUGUGAUGCUCGCGAAAGCUUCUGCCUCAAUCCACUUCGUGAAGUAAUCUGUCAAGACUAGGACGAAGCGUUUCUGUCGAGAGCUCGGCAUCGGGCCGAUUAUGUCCAUUCCCCAUCGCAUGAAAGGGUAAGGAGCUGUCAUUGUUCGCAGCAACUGUGUCGGGGAGUGGAUCGUCGAGGCGUGUCGCUGGCACUGGUCACAUCGCUGGGCGUAAGCUUCGCAGUCUGCGUUCAUCGUUGGCCAGUAGAAACCGAGACUCUUUACUUUUAAAGCAAGUGCUCGACCUCCAGAAUGAUUUCCUGCAGCGCCUUCGUGCGUUUCAGCCAUGACUAAAUGCGUCUCUUCGCCAUUGAUGCACUUCAGAAGUACCUUGGUUGCGGUCCAUCGGUGGAGCUCUCCGUCGAGGACGACAUAAUGAGCACUCCGCGUCUUGAGUCGUCUUGCAAUCCAUUUCUCGGGAGGUAGCUUUCCAUCGACCAAAUAGUCGAUAAAUUCUGUUCUCCAAUCAUUGGUGUCGUUUGACACCUCUUCGAAGACUUGGUUCGCGGGUACGGCUUCGGUUAUUGGUGCUACGAUGGCGGUCUCGAUGGGGGUCAGAUCGAUGCUUGGUUUGUCGAUCUUGUGAAUAGGGAUGGUACGUUUCACCUGAUCGCGCAACCUGCUUCCUAAGGCAGCGAGAGCAUCAGCGCAUACGUUCUCACCUCUGGGGACUUUGGUGAGCUCGAAGAAUUCGAAAUCUUUGGCGAGUGUUUGAACGAUCUUUAGGUACGCGUCCAUUCGUUCGUUGCGGGCAUCGUAGUCACCACUAAACUGACUAGUUACGAGUUGCGAAUCGCAGUAUGCGCUGAGGUGUUUUGCCUUGACUGCCUUGGCGAGUCGUAGUCCUGCGAUCAACGAUUCAUACUCUGCUUCGUUGUUUGAAGCGGCGAAGCCGAAGCUGAACGACUGUCUGAUCAGUUCUCCUGUCGGAGAUUGUAACUGUACUCCUGCUCCUGAUCCUUUGUUUGUCGACGACCCGUCGACGUGAAGUAUCCAAUUUUGACUUGGGAGGAUUAGAUCUUGCUCGAGCUCUGGUGCGAGCUCGAUGAGAAAGUCUGCGAGGACUUGAGAUUUUGCAGCUGUUCGAUUCUUGAAGACAAUGUCGUGCUCGCUGAGUUCGAUAGCCCACUUCGAUAACCGUCCGGAUUGAUUUGUAUUCUGCAUUACCGUUCGCAAUGGUUGAUUUGUCAACACUUCGAUUGUGUGCGACUGAAAGUAGGGACGCAGUUUUCUUGCCGAUGUUACAACGGCAAGAGCCAUCUUCUCAAGGGUGGGAUAUCGAGUCUCUGGAUCAGUCAUGCGCUUGCUCGUGUAGAAGAUAGGCUUCUGUUCUCCUCGAUCCUCUCGGAUGAGGACGCUGCUGACCGCGGUUGAGGAUACGGCGAUAUAGAGUGAGAGUGUAUCGCCAGUUUCAUGUUUGGAUAAUACGGGAGGAGUUGUAAGAUACUCCUUGAGUUGUUUGAACUCCUCUUCGCACUUCUCGUCCCAGAUGAAGCGUUUGUUUCCUCGCAACAACUCGUAGAAAGGAAGGCAUUUGUCCGUGGAUCUGGAAAUGAAACGGUUCAGCGCAGCGAUCCUUCCUGUAAGUCGCUGGACUUCUCUGCUGGUUUUUGGGCUGGGAAGAUCAAGUAUGGCAGAGAUCUAUUUAGGAUUUGCCUCGAUUCCUCGCUGGGUGACGAUGUACCCUAAAAACUCUCCUGAGGUGACUCCGAAAGUACACUUGGCUGGGUUGAGUUUCAUACCGUAUUCGUUCAACGUCUUGAAGCAUUCUUUAAGAUGACCCAGAUGGUCCGUUGCGCGGAGUGAUUUUACCAGCAUGUCGUCGAUGUAGACUUCCACCGUGUUCCCUAAUUUGUCGGCGAACAUUCGAUUGACGAGUCUUUGAUAAGCCGCACCCGCGUUCUUGAGACCGAACGGCAUUACUUUGUAACAGUACGUCCCUCUAUCGGUGAUGAACGUCGUCUUUUCUUGAUCAUCCGGAUGCAUCAUGAUCUGAUUGUAACCAGAAAAUGCAUCCAUGAAAGUCAGGAGUUCAUUCCCAGCAGUCGACUCGACGAGUCUGUCUGUCUCGAGUCGGUAAACUUCUGGUUUGACGUCUUGAGAAAUUUUGUACGGCCCUUCCCAGUUAGUUCCGAGCUUUCCUGCAUUCAGCUCCUUGGUGUUUUCGAACACUUUGCGUAGUACUAUGUCGCCCAGUUCGAGAGGUCGAGACUUGACCUUCUUGUUGUAGUAACCUUCGAUCUGAUGCUGAUAGUUCUGGAUGCGGAGUAGUGCUUGGUCGCGGCGUUCUUCUAUAGCGUCCAGGGCGUCGAAGAGCAUACCGCUUGGGAUGUGAUGGCGGGGUUUAUUCCUUUCAUAUCUGAUGUCGCCCAAGCAAACGUUGAAGCGUUCUCCUUGAGAAAUUCGAUGAUUUGCGUUGCAUCUCUUCGUUGAGGAAGGCUCCGACUCGGACUACUUUGCUCUUAUCAGAGUCGUCGAUGGUGACUUCUAAAAUCUUGUCUUUCUGAGGUUGAAUUUGCUUUGCUAUCGCGUUGAUGCGAGGAGUUGAUUGUUGCAUUUUCACCGUUGCGAUGAGUAGUUCGCGAGCGGCCUGCUGGUCUCCGCGAAGCGUCUGCACUUCACCGUUUGGUCCUGGAAACUUCACGCACUGAUGAUAUGUCGAAGACACUGCCUUAACAGAAUGUAACCAGGGGGUUCCGAGGAUCGCGUUGUAAGGAGCUUUCGUUCGGAUGACUGAGAAUUUGACCGUGCGUAUCACUCCGCAUGCAUAGACGGGGAGUUUGAUUGUACCGAUCAUUGUCUCAGAGGCACCGUUGAAUCCUGUAAGGGAGCGAGAUGAUGGUUUCAUGUCGCGCAGGUCGACUGCCAUCUUAUCGAGCGUAUCUCGAAAGAUUAAAUCGACUGAACUGCCUGUGUCAAUCAACACUUUAGCGACGUCACACUUCGCAAUUCCUACCUCGACUAGCAGUGGGUCGUUGUGAGGUAAAUGGACCCCGAUGGCAUCGUCUGGCGAGAAAGUGAUUGAGGAAUCGUUAUCGGGUUUCGAUGGCCAUUUCUUCGAGGUUACUGCCUGUCGUCGAUGGUCCUUUACAGACCGGACGGAAUCACCGCAAGGAGGUGAGCCACCCAUGAUUACGUUUAGGAAGUUAGACUCGACGACUCGUUUAUUUCUCAGUCGAGUCCUCAAGUCGCUAGGCGAGUCUUCGAUGACAGGUGAAUUUUUGACGUUGGGCGAGUCCUCGACAACGGGUGAGUCCUCGACAACAGAUUUGUGUCCGUCCUCAUUCUUAGACGUCGCCUCCUCGAUUCUUCGUCGUAAGUCUGAAUGUUUUGGUCGGUUGAGCUUGAUUCUGAGGUCUUCCGACUUUGAGUUGAGCUUCUCACGAAGAUCGAUGACUCGUAGCCUGAGACGGGAUCGAGCACUCGAGUCCUCGAUUUUCCUGGCCUUGGAUUUUUUGAUGAUUGAGCGGAGAUCUCCGUGUGAGUCGUAUGCACGAUCAGAUGUCUGCGACUUUCGCCUGAGCUUGUUUCUUAAGUCGUUUGACUCUUCUGAUCCUAUGCUCUCGUUUGUUCGUUUGCUGGAAUACUCGCGUGAGUCAUGGACCUGUUUAUCCUCUUCUUCAUCUGAGGAGGAACUGGGUCGUGCGAGGAUGACUUGUACACGUCGACGAUUACGCGGUUGCUCCUCGUCGACUUGUGCAUCGCCGUCUUCUUCUUCAUUCUCUUCUGGCUUGUCAUCCUCAGUAUGCUUCGGCCGGUUUCUAGACUUAUCCUGAUUCUUGUGAGUUUUCUUUUCUUUGUUUUUGCUCCAGCUCUUGGUGCCGUUGGGCCUAGGCUUAGGGAGUUCGACGUUUGACGUUCCCUUUUCGUACGACGAGAAGAGGGCGUCUAACAAAUGCCUGCAGUUCCUUGUAUCAUGUGCCUUAGACUUGUGGAAGCUACACCACAUGUCAUCCGUGUAGGACGGCGCACUGGCAGCGUUUCUACUUUUACGUCAAGUCUGACGGUUUUGCCUUCGAGGAGCCGCCCGACGUUUCCUUUCAGUUUUUGUGGAAUCAUAAACUCGGUAGAACGCUGUUGUCAGCUCAUCGACUGUCUUUUUUCCUUGUUUUCUGACGAGUUUUCGUUUAUUUGCAGUUGAUCACCCGGACACGGCCUCUUAUCCGGAAGAUUUCGUCUCUGAUGCUCGUGCAGUCGUUUCGCGCGUCCAAGUGAGCUGGAAGGAUAUCACCAUCGAGAGGAUUCGACGAGUGCUUGACAGAAUCUCGAGGAGUAAGUUUCCUCUUGCGAUCACAUGUUUUCUUCCAACUCAUGCCAGUUCCGAGAUUUAUCUGAACCAGCUUGCUGAUCUUUUUCAGAGGAUUGGAGGUCUGAUCUACUUCCUUUGAUUACUGGUAACAAGCGGCGGUUUUCGAUAUUCAGUAGCGCCGAGUAAAAGAUCAUCAACGCGGCCAGGGAAAUGAAAGAGCUUCCAGACUUAGUAGAAACCGAGACUCUUUACUUUUAAAGCAAGUGCUUGACCUCCAGAAUGAUUUCCUGCAGCGCCUUCAUGCGUUUCAGCCAUGACUAAAUGCGUCUCUUCGCCAUUGAUGCACUUCAGAAGUACCUUGGUUGCGGUCCAUCGGUGGAGUUCUCCGUCGAGGACGACAUAAUGAGCACUCCGCGUCUUGAGUCGUCUUGCAAUCCAUUUCUCGGGAGGUAGCUUUCCAUCGACCAAAUAGUCGAUAAAUUCUGUUCUCCAAUCAUUGGUGUCGUUUGACACCUCUUCGAAGACUUGGUUCGCGGGUACGGCUUCGGUUAUUGGUGCUACGAUGGCGGUCUCGAUGGGGG